RNAcentral lists this non-coding RNA (89 nucleotides) under Myotis davidii. The record is from RNAcentral. Lineage: Eukaryota; Metazoa; Chordata; Mammalia; Chiroptera; Vespertilionidae.
AAGCACUGCCUUUGAACCUGAUGUGUCUUGUUUGUAGCUUCUCGGGCCAAGCAACAGUGCUAGAGCAUAAGGACUUGUUAUAACUGGGG